GACGAACGCUGGCGGCGUGCCUAAUACAUGCAAGUAGAACGCUGAAGGAGGAGCUUGCUCUUCUGGAUGAGUUGCGAACGGGUGAGUAACGCGUAGGUAACCUGCCUGGUAGCGGGGGAUAACUAUUGGAAACGAUAGCUAAUACCGCAUAAGAGUAGAUGUUGCAUGACAUUUACUUAAAAGGUGCAAUUGCAUCACUACCAGAUGGACCUGCGUUGUAUUAGCUAGUUGGUGGGGUAACGGCUUACCAAGGCGACGAUACAUAGCCGACCUGAGAGGGUGAUCGGCCCCCCUGGGAUUGGGGCACGGCCCAGCCCCCUCCGGGGGGCAGCAGUAGGGAAUCUUCGGCAAUGGCCGGAAGUCUGACCGAGCAACGCCGCGUGAGGGAAGAGGGUUUUCGGUUCGUAAAGCUCUUUUGUAAGAGAAGAACGGGUGGGGGGGUGGAAAGUUCACACUGUGCCGGUAUUUUACCAGAAAGGGCCGGCUACCUCCG
Molecule: ribosomal RNA, 493 nt
Filed under: uncultured bacterium
Lineage: Bacteria
Description: partial 16S ribosomal RNA
Rfam family: Bacterial small subunit ribosomal RNA
Source: RNAcentral